This 20-nucleotide ribosomal RNA is filed under the name Phialophora sp. WRCF-AW14. RNAcentral describes it as "partial 18S ribosomal RNA". Lineage: Eukaryota; Fungi; Ascomycota; Eurotiomycetes; Chaetothyriales; Herpotrichiellaceae. The record is from RNAcentral.
UCCGUUGGUGAACCGCGGAG